UUCCGGUUGAUCCUGCCGGACCCCACUGCUAUCGGGAUGGGACUAAGACAUGCUAGUCAAGCGCCUUCCAGCCAUGUGGGAGGUGCGGCGUACAGCUCAGUAACACGUGGCUAACCUGCCCUUAGGAUGAGUGCAACCCCGGGAAACUGGGGCUAAUCCUCAAUAGGUGAAGAACACUGGAAUGUGUCUUCGCCCAAAAGGCGUCAGAUCAUGCUUCUGGCGUUGCCUAAGGAUGGGGCCGCGACCGAUCAGGUUGUUGGUGAGGUAAUGGCCCACCAAGCCUAUAACCGGUGCGGGCCGUGAGAGCGGGAGCCCGGA
RNAcentral lists this ribosomal RNA (318 nucleotides) under uncultured archaeon. Its description in RNAcentral is "bacterial SSU rRNA". It matches the Rfam family "Archaeal small subunit ribosomal RNA", at positions 1 to 294 of the family's 1478-position model. The record is from RNAcentral.